Molecule: long non-coding RNA, 1775 nt
Organism: Homo sapiens (human)
Lineage: Eukaryota; Metazoa; Chordata; Mammalia; Primates; Hominidae
Gene: NKX2-1-AS1
Product: NKX2-1 antisense RNA 1
Source: Ensembl
ACUUUCUUGUAGCUUUCCUCCAGGGGACUCAAGAUGUCAGACACUGAGAACGGAGUCGUGUGCUUUGGACUCAUCGACAUGAUUCGGCGGCGGCUGGAGGAGGAAGGAAGAGGAGGAAAAAAAAGGGAGAGGGGGAAGGCGAAGCCUCGCUGCUUUUUUUUUCUCCCUUUGCCAAAUAUUCUGGUGUUACCUUAACGCCGAUCUUGUUGGAUGUACACGUAACGGAGUGGACCGAGUCCUCCUUAAUUGGCUUGAGUGGAGGCUCGGGGGCUGCCUCGCGUUUGUUUUAGCCCGGCGCCAGGUUUUAGGCAGCCACCAGAGGCGGGGCGUAAGCGCUAAAGCAACAAGACAAUAGAAGCCUACAUCUUGCCCGAGAUAAUUAGCUUACAUGCUGAUGACAAGGGUAAAGAAAGCUCAGGACACCCUCCGCCCUCCCACCUGCGCCCGCGUUUUUGUGCGGUCCCCACGGCAGAGCUGGGGAGGCCACCCUACGUUUGCGCAGGGAGACGCGCUCGCCGCUGGUGUUGCGAAAGACCAGAGCGAAGCCCGGCUCCUUGCCCUUCCUUCCCAGGGGCUUCUCUGGGGGGCGCUCUCAGGCCCCGACGAACUGAGCAUUGAUCACUGUGGUGGCUAAGCAAGGAGGGGAGGCGACGCCGGGCUUAAGCGAACCACAGAGGAGAACUGGCAACGCUGAAUACAGACCUUGUCUGCAGGCGCGACCUGGCCGGGCCUGAGUCCCGAAUGGGGUCUAAUUGCGAAGGCGGGGUGGGUUUCCCAGUCACCCAGCUUCUUUCUCUCACUCGCCAUUAUUUCAUAGUUGUUUGUAAGUUUAAGGAACACCAAGUGUAGAAUGUUGUACAUCUCUUCCAGUCUCAACGCCAUUUAGAAAUGGAGAUCAAUCUUCACAAGGUUUUUGUGAGAUUCAAGUAAGAUGAAGCACAUCAAAAUGCUUUGAAAGCUUUGAAUGUUUUUCAGCUCAGUGCCAGCACUGGAGAUUGCGGUAGUUAUUAUCAUGACUAUCCCCACCCCCUCUUAGGUCCCAAGACCUGAGUAAAAGGAAGAGUUGGGUGAAUCUUCCACAGCCCCUAGGUCCUGUCUUCUCGGCCUUCGUCCCUUGGCAGCUUUUCAACCUCUCAGCAGGCCACAGGCGCACGUGGCUGGCAGCUCCCCGGCCUCCGGCUCUGACAGUCCGGGGGCAACCAGGCCUGCAGUUCUCGAGGAAACCCCCAGCCCCCCACGUCUCGUUCUGGACCAGGAACCCCCUCCCCAACAACCGCGCAGCAAGUGGCGACUCUGGGAGCUGAACUGGAGUGGAGCUCGAAGUGGCUGGGGCGGGCAAAGACUCCCGCUUCACUCUGGGACACAACUGGGACGGCGCUUCAACCUCUGCCUGCAGGCGUGCUUCUCGCGCGCACCAGCAAGCUCUCUAUCCACCUCGCCUGGGCCUUUGCAGCGCCCUGCCGCCCAGGCUCCAGCGCCUCUACUACCCUAGCCCCUUCUCAACACGCGGCUCUGCCUUCUUCCCCAGUACCACUGCACUGCCGAAAAUAAGCCCGGAGACUAACGCACCUUGUAGGGAAGAGAAGGACAUCUGUAUCUCCAAGCUUAUCCAAGCAAAGGCCUCCAGAGUCCCUCCCAUGGCCCGAAACACCUCCCUCUGACCGAAGAGCGUCCUUUCUUUCCGCCGCCUCCUGGACUCAUCCUAAAUAGGGCAGACCCGGGCUAAACCAGUGAUUUUUUUUUCCAUGAAUACGAAGAACCCCGAUUGCACUUUG